UCGCCCGGCUUUACCCCGGUGUUAUCUCGAGUUACUUCUUUCACGUAAAGACGACACCCAAGAACGAUUCCGAAAUCUGUAGAAAAAUAUAUUUAGAUCGAUCGAUAAACGAAAGUUUACAGAAAUGAAGUAUUCGACGAAGCUCUACGCUUAACGACUAAAAGAACCGUCGAUCCGGAAUCCCUGAGAACACGAAUCGCUGCUCCAUAAUCGGCGCCCUCUAACGAUAUUCCAUUGGCAGAUAUUAUGCGAUCAUUUACUCUAGAAAAUGAUAAUUUCGCGUAUUGGCAUUACAAUAAAUAUUUGUAAUUUCUA
Long non-coding RNA from Bombus pascuorum, 315 nucleotides. RefSeq lists it as uncharacterized. NCBI's taxonomy places the organism in Eukaryota, Metazoa, Arthropoda, Insecta, Hymenoptera, Apidae. The record is from RefSeq and is a predicted model, not a curated record. The transcript has 2 exons.